GUAGGGGUCUGCGAGAGUCUCGAAUUAAGACUCUUCUUCGGGGCAGUGGACCAGGGCUGUGGUCUCAAAUCCAACAAACUCCAACCUCAAACCUGAUACCUCGAACUAACGUCAAUUGCCGGAAGAAAACUAAGAAAACCUGUGUUAUGUUUAAAUGCGAUAUAGGUAAAGAGAUUAAAAGGAAUGGAGCUUAAGAUUUUUUAAAAUUGUUUAUUUUUUUGGAUAAAGCGAGUAAUAACAGUAGGCUUUAAGGAGUUAACAACGACGACUAAAAAUAUGAGUUUGAGGGUAAAAUGAGCGUCUCAACCCUUAGUUUUUUUGGGGGUAAAAGACGUGGCUGAAGCCUUCCCCGAAAAUCUCUUCAAAGGUCAGUAUUUAUAGGUUGAUUUCUAAGGUUCUUAGUUUGGGCGAGAUUUCAAAAUUGAGUGAAUGCUAUUGAACGUUAAUGUUGCAGAAAAUUAAUUAAGGUGCAGAGCUUCUUGUUAAAAAUGGUAAUGGCAAGUUCUGUCAUGACUGAGCAAGAAUAGAAUUUUGUGAAUAAGAGAAAAGAGAGGAGAAUAAGCGUCUGUUGGGUUAGGAGAGAGAGAAC
Molecule: long non-coding RNA, 589 nt
Filed under: Nicotiana benthamiana
Lineage: Eukaryota; Viridiplantae; Streptophyta; Magnoliopsida; Solanales; Solanaceae
Description: long non-coding RNA (NBEN_LNC024396)
Source: RNAcentral